AGAGUUUGAUCCUGGCUCAGAUUGAACGCUGGCGGCAGGCCUAACACAUGCAAGUCGAGCGGUAGCACAGAGAGCUUGCUCUCGGGUGACGAGCGGCGGACGGGUGAGUAAUGUCUGGGAAACUGCCUGAUGGAGGGGGAUAACUACUGGAAACGGUAGCUAAUACCGCAUAAUGUCGCAAGACCAAAGUGGGGGACCUUCGGGCCUCAUGCCAUCAGAUGUGCCCAGAUGGGAUUAGCUAGUAGGUGGGGUAACGGCUCACCUAGGCGACGAUCCCUAGCUGGUCUGAGAGGAUGACCAGCCACACUGGAGCUGAGACACGGUCCAGACUCCUACGGGAGGCAGCAGUGGGGAAUAUUGCACAAUGGGCGCAAGCCUGAUGCAGCCAUGCCGCGUGUGUGAAGAAGGCCUUCGGGUUGUAAAGCACUUUCAGCGGGGAGGAAGGCGGUGAGGUUAAUAACCUCAUCGAUUGACGUUACCCGCAGAAGAAGCACCGGCUAACUCCGUGCCAGCAGCCGCGGUAAUACGGAGGGUGCAAGCGUUAAUCGGAAUUACUGGGCGUAAAGCGCACGCAGGCGGUCUGUCAAGUCGGAUGUGAAAUCCCCGGGCUCAACCUGGGAACUGCAUUCGAAACUGGCAGGCUAGAGUCUUGUAGAGGGGGGUAGAAUUCCAGGUGUAGCGGUGAAAUGCGUAGAGAUCUGGAGGAAUACCGGUGGCGAAGGCGGCCCCCUGGACAAAGACUGACGCUCAGGUGCGAAAGCGUGGGGAGCAAACAGGAUUAGAUACCCUGGUAGUCCACGCCGUAAACGAUGUCGAUUUGGAGGUUGUGCCCUUGAGGCGUGGCUUCCGGAGCUAACGCGUUAAAUCGACCGCCUGGGGAGUACGGCCGCAAGGUUAAAACUCAAAUGAAUUGACGGGGGCCCGCACAAGCGGUGGAGCAUGUGGUUUAAUUCGAUGCAACGCGAAGAACCUUACCUGGUCUUGACAUCCACAGAACUUUCCAGAGAUGGAUUGGUGCCUUCGGGAACUGUGAGACAGGUGCUGCAUGGCUGUCGUCAGCUCGUGUUGUGAAAUGUUGGGUUAAGUCCCGCAACGAGCGCAACCCUUAUCCUUUGUUGCCAGCGGUUCGGCCGGGAACUCAAAGGAGACUGCCAGUGAUAAACUGGAGGAAGGUGGGGAUGACGUCAAGUCAUCAUGGCCCUUACGACCAGGGCUACACACGUGCUACAAUGGCAUAUACAAAGAGAAGCGACCUCGCGAGAGCAAGCGGACCUCAUAAAGUAUGUCGUAGUCCGGAUUGGAGUCUGCAACUCGACUCCAUGAAGUCGGAAUCGCUAGUAAUCGUAGAUCAGAAUGCUACGGUGAAUACGUUCCCGGGCCUUGUACACACCGCCCGUCACACCAUGGGAGUGGGUUGCA
Molecule: ribosomal RNA, 1419 nt
Filed under: uncultured bacterium
Lineage: Bacteria
Description: 16S ribosomal RNA
Rfam family: Bacterial small subunit ribosomal RNA
Source: RNAcentral